UGGUGCGAAUUGAAAUGAAUUGGUGGUAGUUGAUGCUGCAUCAGGUGCUGUACUUGGUAGUGAAUUGAGGUCAUAGUCAGGAUUGUGAGGCAUGAGAAAUCCAUGCUGAGGUAUCUGAAGUAGGCUAUUACAGCUACUCGACUGGCUUGAACUCAAGCAGUGAGUUUGGCUGGGGAAUAGCAAUUCUCCUGAUCUGGAUUCUCUCAAGCUGCUAACUUGGGAAUGGAAAGUUGGAAUCAAAAGCCUUCCUCUGCUGUUCAUACUUCUAUUUGGACUUCUAUCUGGACUGGCAAUAGGAACUGAAUUAUUCAUUGUCAAAAGAUCAACAAA
This 330-nucleotide unclassified non-coding RNA is filed under the name Hevea brasiliensis (rubber tree). Lineage: Eukaryota; Viridiplantae; Streptophyta; Magnoliopsida; Malpighiales; Euphorbiaceae. The record is from RNAcentral.